Molecule: ribosomal RNA, 484 nt
Filed under: uncultured bacterium
Lineage: Bacteria
Description: partial 16S ribosomal RNA
Rfam family: Bacterial small subunit ribosomal RNA
Source: RNAcentral
AUUGAACGCUGGCGGAAUGCUUUACACAUGCAAGUCGAGCGGCAGCGCGGCCUUCGGGCUGGCGGCGAGCGGCGAACGGGUGAGUAAUGCAUCGGAACAUGCCCAGUCGUGGGGGAUAACACUUCGAAAGAAGUGCUAAUACCGCAUACGUCCUGAGGGGGAAAGCGGGGGAUCGCAAGACCUCGCGCGAUUGGAGUGGCCGAUGUCAGAUUAGCUAGUUGGUGGGGUAAAGGCCUACCAAGGCGACGAUCUGUAGCUGGUCUGAGAGGAUGAUCAGCCACACUGGGACUGAGACACGGCCCAGACUCCUACGGGAGGCAGCAGUGGGGAAUUUUGGACAAUGGGGGCAACCCUGACCCAGCCAUUCCGCGUGAGUGAAGAAGGCCUUCGGGUUGUAAAGCUCUUUCGGCAGGAACGAAACGGUGGGCUCUAACAUAGUCCGCUAAUGACGGUACCUGAAGAAGAAGCACCGGCUAACUACGUG